AAUCAACUCCAGCCCUGGGCAUCCACUCCACUUCCACAAGGUGAGCUGUCACAGAUUAUUUACAAAAAUGAGUCUGGAAAAGUCUCUUUCUUUGCCGUAUUUCUUUCCAUUUAUUCCUUCUUUAUCUUUACCUUUACCUUAUUUAAUUUCAUAAUGAUUUUUCGUUCUAUUUAAGUUUUCUUUCUCUUCUUUCCUCUGUUGGUUUUCUAAUGCCCUUUAUUCCUUUUCCUAUUCAAAAUAGUCUAGAUCUAAAGACAAGUAGUCCAGGGAAUGGUCAGAUAAAAAAGAAUUUUCCAUAAAUUCUAUUGUGAGAUACUAAUUUUAAAAUAUUAAUCUAGCUAGACCAGGAAAAAAAAUAAUCCAAACAGC
This 369-nucleotide long non-coding RNA is filed under the name Homo sapiens (human). Its description in RNAcentral is "HSALNT0321556". The record is from RNAcentral. Lineage: Eukaryota; Metazoa; Chordata; Mammalia; Primates; Hominidae.